Long non-coding RNA from Oncorhynchus nerka (sockeye salmon), 564 nucleotides. RefSeq lists it as uncharacterized. The record is from RefSeq and is a predicted model, not a curated record. NCBI's taxonomy places the organism in Eukaryota, Metazoa, Chordata, Actinopteri, Salmoniformes, Salmonidae. The transcript is spliced from 2 exons.
CCAUGGAGACCUGCAGUUUGACAUCUACAGACUCAUGAGACAGGAGAACGGUAACAAGUGGGGUGACUACCAGCCCCACUCCAAUGUGUUGUGGCUCCACUACCUGAGCUCCAAGCUGCUGACUAUGACCUAUAAGGGUCGAGGGGGGCGGGGCGUCAAGCAGGCCAGGUUGGACCUGCAGCGUUUCCACGACGAUGUCCUCACCUUCCGAUCUGCCUCUGACAUACUGUACAACUGUGGCCUGUUCCAAUGAGAAAGAGAGAGAGAGUGUGUGUGUGUGUGUGUGUUUGCCACAUAUUGUUGUUGUUAGCUUGGUUAGCCCGAUGCUAAGUGGUUAGCCCGAUGCUAAGUGGUUAGCCCGAUGCUAAGUGGUUAGCCCGAUGCUAAGUGGUUAGCCCGAUGCUAAGUGGUUAUCUAUAGUAUUGUGUAGGAUCCAGUCGUAACCUUUUUUGGAGGUGAACUCUUCUUGUGAACAAUAUUUAUAAACCCAGAAGACUGUAAAUGGCUUUGUAUUCUAAAAUUAAAAAGGGGUAUUAAACGUUGAAUAGAAACAAUGACCAAAAA